RNAcentral lists this ribosomal RNA (363 nucleotides) under uncultured cyanobacterium. Its description in RNAcentral is "partial 16S ribosomal RNA". It matches the Rfam family "Bacterial small subunit ribosomal RNA", at positions 399 to 777 of the family's 1533-position model. The record is from RNAcentral. Lineage: Bacteria; Bacillati; Cyanobacteriota.
GAAGGUNGAUUGACGGCCUUUGGGUUGUAAACCUCUUUUUUCAAGGAGGAAGUUCUGACGUGUACUUGGAGAAUAAGCAUCGGCUAACUCCGUGCCAGCAGCCGCGGUAAGACGGAGGAUGGAAGUGUUAUCCGGAAUUAUUGGGCGUAAAGCGUCUGUAGGUUGCCUAGCAAGUCUAUUGUUAAAGGUUAAAGCUUAACUGUAAAACUGCAGUAGAAACUGCUAAGCUUGAGUNCNGUCGAAGUAGAGGGAAUUUCCAGUGAAGCGGUGAAAUGCGUACAUAUUGGANGGAACNCCNAUGGNGAAAGNGCUCUACUAGGCUNUUACUGCACUCAUAAACGAAUGCUUGGGUGGCGNANUGGG